AGUCGAACGAGACUGUGGGGGCAACUCUGCAGUUUAGUGGCGGACGGGUGAGUAACACGUGGGUAACCUGCCCGGAAGUGGGGAAUACCUCGGGGAAACUCGAGCUAAUACCGCAUGACAUCUUUGGGACGAGAGUCCUGACGAUCAAAGCGGGGUCGCAAGAUCUCGCGCUACCGGAUGGGCCCGCGCCCGAUUAGCUAGUUGGCGAGGUAAUGGCUCACCAAGGCUUCGAUCGGUAACCGGCCUGAGAGGGCGAUCGGUCACACCGGAACUGAGACACGGUCCGGACUCCUACGGGAGGCAGCAGUGGGGAAUCUUGCGCAAUGGGCGAAAGCCUGACGCAGCAACGCCGCGUGGAGGAUGAAGGCCCUUGGGUUGUAAACUCCUGUCGGUUGGGAAGAAAUCUUACGGGGUUAAUACCUCCGUAAGUUGACUGUACCAGCAAAGGAAGCCCCGGCUAACUCUGUGCCAGCAGCCGCGGUAAUACAGAGGGGGCCAGCGUUAUUCGGAAUUAUUGGGCGUAAAGGGCGCGUAGGCGGCCAUGCGUGUCUUUCGUGAAAUCCCUCGGCUUAACUGAGGACGUGCGGAAGAAACUGCAAGGCUUGAGUCCGGGAGAGGGGGGGUGGAAUUCCCAGUGUAGCGGUGAAAUGCGUAGAUAUUGGGAGGAACACCGGUGGCGAAGGCGGCCCCCUGGACCGGUACUGACGCUGAGGUGCGAAAGCGUGGGUAGCAAACGGGAUUAGAUACCCCGGUAGUCCACGCCGUAAACGAUGGGCACUUGGUGUCGCGGGUAUCGACCCCUGCGGUGCCGAAGCUAACGCAUUAA
This 826-nucleotide ribosomal RNA is filed under the name uncultured Pseudomonadota bacterium. RNAcentral's name for it is "bacterial SSU rRNA". It matches the Rfam family "Bacterial small subunit ribosomal RNA", at positions 60 to 863 of the family's 1533-position model. Lineage: Bacteria; Pseudomonadati; Pseudomonadota. The record is from RNAcentral.